CCUUUGACCAAUAAUGCUCAAGUAUGCUGUCAACACUCAUACAGGUCAUCUCUAUUGUGUCUCAAAAUUUUGCAAAUUCCCUGACUCUUCACGAGGAUUACCCAGGUCUAAGUUUUGCUAAAUUGAAACAUAGUGAGAUAUUCUCUUUCUGAAGUUAAUCAGGAGUGGUCAAUCUUUUUUUGACUCACACACUGACUUCACAAAUACUUGACUGUACCCAAAAAUCUUUCGAACC
Molecule: long non-coding RNA, 235 nt
Filed under: Elaeis guineensis (African oil palm)
Lineage: Eukaryota; Viridiplantae; Streptophyta; Magnoliopsida; Arecales; Arecaceae
Description: long non-coding RNA (EGUI_LNC049529)
Source: RNAcentral